AUGGCAUGGUGGCGCGGUGGUGGCACGUCAGCGGCGAGGCGAGGAAGCGGCAGAGGAAGCGGGGAGAGAGUGCGUGGCGAUGUGGAUAGCGAUGGGAGGCCGCGUGGCGGGCAUAGCUAUUUAUAG
Molecule: ribosomal RNA, 126 nt
Filed under: Triticum aestivum (bread wheat)
Lineage: Eukaryota; Viridiplantae; Streptophyta; Magnoliopsida; Poales; Poaceae
Description: partial small subunit ribosomal RNA
Source: RNAcentral